AAAGUCUGAUGGAGCAACGCCGCGUGAGUGAUGAAGGUUUUCGGAUCGUAAAACUCUGUUGUAAGGGAAGAACCAGUACGUCAGGCAAUGGACGUACCUUGACGGUACCUUAUUAGAAAGCCACGGCUAACUACGUGCCAGCAGCCGCGGUAAUACGUAGGGGGCAAGCGUUAUCCGGAUUUACUGGGUGUAAAGGGAGCGUAGGUGGUUCGGCAAGUCAGAUGUGAAAGCCCGGGGCUCAACCCCGGGACUGCAUUUGAAACUGUCGGGCUAGAGUGCAGGAGAGGUAAGUGGAAUUCCUAGUGUAGCGGUGAAAUGCGUAGAUAUUAGGAGGAACACCAGUGGCGAAGGCGGCUUACUGGACUGUAACUGACACUGAGGCUCGAAAGCGUGGGGAGCAAACA
This 404-nucleotide ribosomal RNA is filed under the name uncultured Eubacteriales bacterium. RNAcentral describes it as "bacterial SSU rRNA". It matches the Rfam family "Bacterial small subunit ribosomal RNA", at positions 378 to 774 of the family's 1533-position model. Lineage: Bacteria; Bacillati; Bacillota; Clostridia; Eubacteriales. The record is from RNAcentral.